UAAAGUUAGAGGAAUGAAACUUUUGGGCUGC
RNAcentral lists this non-coding RNA (31 nucleotides) under Homo sapiens (human). The record is from RNAcentral. Lineage: Eukaryota; Metazoa; Chordata; Mammalia; Primates; Hominidae.